Molecule: ribosomal RNA, 253 nt
Filed under: uncultured bacterium
Lineage: Bacteria
Description: partial 16S ribosomal RNA
Rfam family: Bacterial small subunit ribosomal RNA
Source: RNAcentral
UACGGGGGGGGCAAGCGUUGUUCGGAUUUAUUGGGUUUAAAGGGUGCGUAGGCGGCCCUGUAAGUCAGUGCUGAAAUAUUCCGGCUUAACCGGGAGGGUGGCAUUGAUACUGCGGGGCUAGAGUGCAGAUGAGGUAGGCGGAAUUGACGGUGUAGCGGUGAAAUGCUUAGAUAUCGUCAAGAACACCUAUAGCGAAGGCAGCUUACUAGGCUGUAACUGACGCUGAGGCACGAAAGUGUGGGGAUCAAACAGG